This 468-nucleotide ribosomal RNA is filed under the name uncultured bacterium. RNAcentral's name for it is "partial 16S ribosomal RNA". It matches the Rfam family "Bacterial small subunit ribosomal RNA", at positions 28 to 507 of the family's 1533-position model. The record is from RNAcentral.
GACGAACGCUGGCGGCGUGCUUAACACAUGCAAGUCGAACGGAAAGGCCCUGCUUUUGUGGGGUGCUCGAGUGGCGAACGGGUGAGUAACACGUGAGUAACCUGCCCUUGACUUUGGGAUAACUUCAGGAAACUGGGGCUAAUACCGGAUAGGAGCUCCUGCUGCAUGGUGGGGGUUGGAAAGUUUCGGCGGUUGGGGAUGGACUCGCGGCUUAUCAGCUUGUUGGUGGGGUAGUGGCUUACCAAGGCUUUGACGGGUAGCCGGCCUGAGAGGGUGACCGGCCACAUUGGGACUGAGAUACGGCCCAGACCCCUACGGGAGGCAGCAGUGGGGAAUAUUGCACAGUGGGCGGAAGCCUGAUGCAGCAACGCCGCGUGCGGGAUGACGGCCUUCGGGUUGUAAACCGCUUUCGCCUGUGACGAAGCGUGAGUGACGGUAAUGGGUAAAGAAGCACCGGCUAACUACGUG